RNAcentral lists this ribosomal RNA (497 nucleotides) under uncultured bacterium. RNAcentral describes it as "partial 16S ribosomal RNA". It matches the Rfam family "Bacterial small subunit ribosomal RNA", at positions 28 to 507 of the family's 1533-position model. The record is from RNAcentral.
GAUGAACGCUGGCGGCGUGCCUAAUACAUGCAAGUCGAGCGAACGGACGAGAAGCUUGCUUUUCUGAUGUUAGCGGCGGACGGGUGAGUAACACGUGGAUAACCUACCUAUAAGACUGGGAUAACUUCGGGAAACCGGAGCUAAUACCGGAUGAUAUUUUGAACCGCAUGGUUCAAAAGUGAAAGACGGUCUUGCUGUCACUUAUAGAUGGAUCCGCGCUGCAUUAGCUAGUUGGUAAGGUAACGGCUUACCAAGGCAACGAUGCAUAGCCGACCUGAGAGGGUGAUCGGCCACACUGGAACUGAGACACGGUCCAGACUCCUACGGGAGGCAGCAGUAGGGAAUCUUCCGCAAUGGGCGAAAGCCUGACGGAGCAACGCCGCGUGAGUGAUGAAGGUCUUCGGAUCGUAAAACUCUGUUAUUAGGGAAGAACAUAUGUGUAAGUAACUGUGCACGUCUUGACGGUACCUAAUCAGAAAGCCACGGCUAACUACGUG